UACGUAGGGGGCUAGCGUUAUCCGGAAUUACUGGGCGUAAAGGGUGCGUAGGUGGUUUCUUAAGUCAGAGGUGAAAGGCUACGGCUCAACCGUAGUAAGCCUUUGAAACUGGGAAACUUGAGUGCAGGAGAGGAGAGUGGAAUUCCUAGUGUAGCGGUGAAAUGCGUAGAUAUUAGGAGGAACACCAGUGGCGAAGGCAGGUCUCUGGGCAGUUACUGACGCUGAGGAGCGAAAGCAUGGGUAGCGAACAGGAUUAGAUACUCUGGUAGUCCCU
Molecule: ribosomal RNA, 274 nt
Filed under: uncultured prokaryote
Description: partial 16S ribosomal RNA
Rfam family: Bacterial small subunit ribosomal RNA
Source: RNAcentral